Triticum aestivum (bread wheat) is the source of this 135-nucleotide non-coding RNA. Lineage: Eukaryota; Viridiplantae; Streptophyta; Magnoliopsida; Poales; Poaceae. The record is from Rfam.
UAAAUACUCCCUCCGUUUCAAAAUUCUUGUCUUAAAUUUGUCUAGAUACGGAUGUAUCUAAUACUAAAAUGUGACUUGAUACAUCCGUAUUUAGGCAAAUCUAAGACAAGAGUUUUGAGACGGAGAGAAUAUGUU